UAGUCUACGCCGUAAACGAUGGUUACUAGCUGUUUGGUCGAUUGAGACUGAGUGGCUAAGCGAAAGUGAUAAGUAACCCACCUGGGGAGUACGUUCGCAAGAAUGAAACUCAAAGGAAUUGACGGGGGCCCGCACAAGCGGUGGAGCAUGUGGUUUAAUUCGAUGAUACGCGAGGAACCUUACCAGGGCUUAAAUGUAGUCUGACAGAUUUGGAAACAGAUUUUUCUUCGGACAGAUUACAAGGUGCUGCAUGGUUGUCGUCAGCUCGUGCCGUGAGGUGUCAGGUUAAGUCCUAUAACGAGCGCAACCCCUGUGGUUAGUUGCCAGCGAGUCAAGUCGGGAACUCUAGCCAGACUGCCGGUGCAAACCGUGAGGAAGGUGGGGAUGACGUCAAAUCAUCACGGCCCUUACGUCCUGGGCCACACACGUGCUACAAUGGUAGGGACAGAGAGCAGCCACUUCGCGAGAAGGAGCGAAUCUUCAAACCCUAUCACAGUUCGGAUCGC
RNAcentral lists this ribosomal RNA (506 nucleotides) under uncultured bacterium. RNAcentral's name for it is "bacterial SSU rRNA". It matches the Rfam family "Bacterial small subunit ribosomal RNA", at positions 791 to 1301 of the family's 1533-position model. The record is from RNAcentral.